GAUGAACGCUGGCGGCGUGCCUAAUACAUGCAAGUAGAACGCUUAAGCCGGAGCUUGCUCUUCUGGAUGAGUUGCGAACGGGUGAGUAACGCGUAGGUAACCUGCCUGUUAGCGGGGGAUAACUAUUGGAAACGAUAGCUAAUACCGCAUGACAACAGUUACUGCAUGAUGACGGUUGAAAAGGGGCAACGGCUCCACAACCAGAUGGACCUUCGUAGUAUUGGCUAGUUGUUGAGGUAUCGGAGCACCAAGGCGACGAUACAUAGUCGACCUGAGACGGUGGACGGCCAACAUGGGAAUGAGACACGGCACAUACUCCGACGGGAGGCAGCCGUACGGAAUCCUCGGCAAUCGACGGAAGUCUGAGCGCACAACGCCGCGGGAGUGAAGACCAUUGUCGGGUCGUAAAGAUCUGUUGUAAGAGGAGAACGAGUGUAAGAGUGGAAAGUUCACAAAGUGACGGUAUAUUAUCAGAAAGGGACGGCUAACUACGUG
Molecule: ribosomal RNA, 495 nt
Filed under: uncultured bacterium
Lineage: Bacteria
Description: partial 16S ribosomal RNA
Rfam family: Bacterial small subunit ribosomal RNA
Source: RNAcentral